This 253-nucleotide ribosomal RNA is filed under the name uncultured bacterium. Its description in RNAcentral is "partial 16S ribosomal RNA". It matches the Rfam family "Bacterial small subunit ribosomal RNA", at positions 524 to 776 of the family's 1533-position model. The record is from RNAcentral.
UACAGAGGGUGCAAGCGUUAAUCGGAAUUACUGGGCGUAAAGCGCGCGUAGGUGGUUCGUUAAGUUGGAUGUGAAAUCCCCGGGCUCAACCUGGGAACUGCAUUCAAAACUGUCGAGCUAGAGUAUGGUAGAGGGUGGUGGAAUUUCCUGUGUAGCGGUGAAAUGCGUAGAUAUAGGAAGGAACACCGGUGGCGAAGGCGACCACCUGGACUGAUACUGACACUGAGGUGCGAAAGCGUGGGGAGCAAACAGG